Molecule: ribosomal RNA, 448 nt
Filed under: Peptostreptococcaceae bacterium oral taxon 383
Lineage: Bacteria; Bacillati; Bacillota; Clostridia; Peptostreptococcales; Peptostreptococcaceae
Description: bacterial SSU rRNA
Rfam family: Bacterial small subunit ribosomal RNA
Source: RNAcentral
GAUGAACGCUGGCGGCGUGCCUAACACAUGCAAGUCGAGCGAGAAAUGAAGAGAAGAAACUUCGGUAGAUUUUCAUCAUGGAAAGCGGCGGACGGGUGAGUAACGCGUAGGCAACCUGCCCCGUACAGGGGGAUAGCCAUCGGAAACGAUGAUUAAGACCCCAUAAAGCGGAAUAUACACAUGUAAAAACCGUCAAAGAUUUAUCGGUAUGGGAUGGGCCUGCGUCUGAUUAGAUAGUUGGUAGGGUAACGGCCUACCAAGUCAACGAUCAGUAGCCGACCUGAGAGGGUGAACGGCCACAUUGGAACUGAGACACGGUCCAAACUCCUACGGGAGGCAGCAGUGGGGAAUAUUGCACAAUGGAGGGAACUCUGAUGCAGCAACGCCGCGUGAAGGAAGAAGGUCUUCGGAUCGUAAACUUCUGUCCAAAAGGAAGAAGGAAGUGACG